RNAcentral lists this ribosomal RNA (548 nucleotides) under uncultured bacterium. Its description in RNAcentral is "bacterial SSU rRNA". It matches the Rfam family "Bacterial small subunit ribosomal RNA", at positions 355 to 896 of the family's 1533-position model. The record is from RNAcentral.
UGGGGAAUUUUGGACAAUGGGCGCAAGCCUGAUCCAGCAAUGCCGCGUGAGUGAAGAAGGCCUUCGGGUUGUAAAGCUCUUUUGUCAGGGAAGAAACGGUCUACUCUAAUACAGUGGGCUAAUGACGGUACCUGAAGAAUAAGCACCGGCUAACUACGUGCCAGCAGCCGCGGUAAUACGUAGGGUGCAAGCGUUAAUCGGAAUUACUGGGCGUAAAGCGUGCGCAGGCGGUUAUAUAAGUCAGAUGUGAAAUCCCCGGGCUCAACCUGGGAACUGCAUUUGAGACUGUAUGGCUAGAGUGUGUCAGAGGGGGGUAGAAUUCCACGUGUAGCAGUGAAAUGCGUAGAUAUGUGGAGGAAUACCGAUGGCGAAGGCAGCCCCCUGGGAUAACACUGACGCUCAUGCACGAAAGCGUGGGGAGCAAACAGGAUUAGAUACCCUGGUAGUCCACGCCCUAAACGAUGUCUACUAGUUGUCGGGACUUAAUUGUCUUGGUAACGCAGCUAACGCGUGAAGUAGACCGCCUGGGGAGUACGGUCGCAAGAUUA